This 231-nucleotide long non-coding RNA is filed under the name Lathyrus oleraceus (garden pea). Its description in RNAcentral is "Pisum sativum (pea) long non-coding RNA (PSAT_LNC028519)". The record is from RNAcentral. Lineage: Eukaryota; Viridiplantae; Streptophyta; Magnoliopsida; Fabales; Fabaceae.
UAACAUACAAUACAUUAAUAUUUGUCUUGCAUCUCUUUUGGUACAGAUGUUUAGAAAUUUGAUUUGCACUUUCAUUGAAGUUCUAGUUUCACCAAGUGGAGAUAUACUUUUUUAAUUUUUAAAUUAAAAAUAAUAAGUUAGGUGUUAAUUGGUUAUUCUUGAUUAAUUAGUUUCUAACAAGAGUUUUUCAUAAAGUUUCUAACAAGAGUUUUUCAUAAAGUUUUACAAAUU